This 376-nucleotide ribosomal RNA is filed under the name Candovia sp. E AC-2020. Its description in RNAcentral is "partial small subunit ribosomal RNA". The record is from RNAcentral. Lineage: Eukaryota; Metazoa; Arthropoda; Insecta; Phasmatodea; Lonchodidae.
GUUAUACAAUAAAUAUAAUUUAAUAUUUUUGGUUUUUGAAGUUAAAAAUUUAUUUUUGAAUUUAAUAUAAUUGUUUUAAAGGUGAAAUUUAUAUUUUUAUUAAUUUUAUUUCUUUUUUGAUUCUUCGAAAUAUAUAAAAUAAACUAGGAUUAGAUACCCUAUUAUAAUAUAUUUGAAUUUUUAGCCUGGGUAAUAAUAGUUAUGUUCUUUAAACCUAAAGAAUUUGGCGGUGUUUUAGUCUAUUUAGAGGAAUUUGCUCUUUAAUCGAUAGUCCUCGAUUUAUCUUACUUUGAUUGGUUAUCAGUAUGUAUACCGCCGUUAUAAGUUUAUUUUAUUAGAAAAUUAAUUUACUUGAUUCUUUUUUUUGAAUUAUUUC